AUUGAACGCUGGCGGCAUGCCUUACACAUGCAAGUCGAACGGUAGAGGGGGGCAACCCCUUCGAGAGUGGCGAACGGGUGAGUAAUGCAUCGGAACGUGCCCAGUCGUGGGGGAUAGCCCGGGGAAACCCGGAUUAAUACCGCAUACGACCUGAGGGUGAAAGCGGGGGACUCGCAAUGGCCUCGCGCGCUUGGAGCGGCCGAUGUCGGAUUAGGUAGUUGGUGGGGUAAAGGCCUACCAAGCCUGCGAUCCGUAGCUGGUCUGAGAGGACGACCAGCCACACUGGGACUGAGACACGGCCCAGACUCCUACGGGAGGCAGCAGUGGGGAAUUUUGGACAAUGGGGGCAACCCUGAUCCAGCCAUGCCGCGUGCGGGAAGAAGGCCUUCGGGUUGUAAACCGCUUUUGUCAGGGAAGAAAUGUCCUGGGCUAAUACCCUGGGGGGAUGACGGUACCUGAAGAAUAAGCACCGGCUAACUACGUGCCAGCAGCCGCAGUAA
This 500-nucleotide ribosomal RNA is filed under the name uncultured bacterium. RNAcentral's name for it is "partial 16S ribosomal RNA". It matches the Rfam family "Bacterial small subunit ribosomal RNA", at positions 29 to 523 of the family's 1533-position model. The record is from RNAcentral.